Molecule: long non-coding RNA, 485 nt
Organism: Zingiber officinale
Lineage: Eukaryota; Viridiplantae; Streptophyta; Magnoliopsida; Zingiberales; Zingiberaceae
Exons: 4
Source: RefSeq, a predicted model, not a curated record
ACGGUGGAGGGCUUGGUUUUGGUUGUUUCCGACCGAUUGACCCUUCGUUUCCUCCUUCUUGAGCUAUUCACAUAACGAUCCGUGGCUCCUCAAAGUGGAUCGGAUUGGGCGAUACCUUCUGGAGACAACCGAUUGAGGGAGGUGUUCUUGAGCUGCCGGGAAGAGGCUAGAAGGAUGGUUAAUUGAUCAGUGAUCUCCCUGCUUGACCUCCUGUUGUGAUCCGAUUGAUUCCAAUGAGGUUGAGUGCUGUGGAUCAACAAGCACGACUGUGAGCUGAAGCGUAUCCAAUUUGGAUUUUCCAGCUCAAAAUAUCAGUAGAUUUGUUGUGGUAGUGCCUUAACAGGAUUUUAGACUUCUCCAUUCAGGAAAAGACAAGUCUGGUAGAUACAAAAAUUACAAGAUUGCAAGUUUGGAUUGAAGGUCACAAGAAAAAAAAUGGGGAGCCUAGUACUCAAGCUGUUGGAGAGAAAAUAGUAAGCAUGUCC